GACAGAGGGGGCAAGCGUUGCUCGGAAUCACUGGGCGUAAAGGGCGCGUAGGCGGGAUGGCAAGUCAGUCGUGAAAUCUCUCGGCUCAACCGAGAAACGUCGGCUGAUACUGCCGUUCUUGAGGGAUGCAGAGGAGACUGGAAUUCCCGGUGUAGCGGUGAAAUGUGUAGAGAUCGGGAGGAACACCGGUGGCGAAGGCGGGAUCCUGGGCCAGUACUGACGCUGAGGAGCGAAAGCGUGGGGAGCAAACAGG
This 253-nucleotide ribosomal RNA is filed under the name uncultured bacterium. Its description in RNAcentral is "partial 16S ribosomal RNA". It matches the Rfam family "Bacterial small subunit ribosomal RNA", at positions 524 to 776 of the family's 1533-position model. The record is from RNAcentral.